GGCAGAGGGAGCCCGGUUCCCGCGGUGGACGCGGCCUCGCCGCGUCGUACGGUGUCGGCCUCGCCGGCACCCACGUGAGGAAAGUCCCCCCACCGUUCGGGCAGGCGACCGGGCGCAAGCCCGGAGUGGGAGACCACUGGCUCUGGAACAGAAACGAGACCCCUCCGCGCGACCGAUGAGGUGCGCGAACCGACCCGCGAGGGAAGGGAGUUGACCCACCGAGGGCUCGACCGCGGAGAAGGGAUGGAACGGCGAAUCCUCGCCGGUGCAAGUCCGCGCCACUAUGGUAGCCCGGACGCCCGCCAGACGGCGGGCCUCCGUGGCGUUCGGCGACGCCGUCGGAGUUCUCCGGCGGACCGCCGGACGCCCGGAGACGGUGCGGACGCUCAGCCGAAUGCCGGGCCGAACAGAAGGGGGCUUACUCCCCUCAGCC
RNAcentral lists this RNase P RNA (433 nucleotides) under halophilic archaeon. RNAcentral's name for it is "Archaeal RNase P". It matches the Rfam family "Archaeal RNase P". Rfam says of the family: Ribonuclease P (RNase P) is a ubiquitous endoribonuclease, found in archaea, bacteria and eukarya as well as chloroplasts and mitochondria. Lineage: Archaea; Methanobacteriati; Methanobacteriota; Halobacteria; Halobacteriales. The record is from Rfam by way of RNAcentral.